Sapajus apella (tufted capuchin) is the source of this 5202-nucleotide RNA transcript. It is a transcript of the gene named BICD cargo adaptor 1, with no coding region annotated. The transcript is spliced from 9 exons. The record is from RefSeq and is a predicted model, not a curated record. Lineage: Eukaryota; Metazoa; Chordata; Mammalia; Primates; Cebidae.
CGGGGCGUCGCGCUGCUCAUUCAUCCAGCGGCACUUUCUUUUCCAUUUCCACCCAUCCUUCUCCAUUUCCUUCUCCCUUUCCCCGCCAGCUUUGCAUCUCUGUCCCUCACCCCGUCACCCUCUCCUGCAUCCAUCCACCGGGGCUAUGGCCGCAGAAGAGGUAUUGCAGACGGUGGACCAUUAUAAGACUGAGAUAGAGAGGCUGACCAAGGAGCUCACGGAGACCACCCAUGAGAAGAUCCAGGCUGCUGAGUACGGGCUGGUGGUGCUGGAGGAGAAGCUGACCCUCAAACAGCAGUAUGACGAGCUGGAGGCUGAGUACGACAGCCUCAAACAGGAGCUGGAGCAGCUCAAAGAGGCAUUUGGGCAGUCCUUCUCCAUCCACCGGAAGGUUGCUGAGGAUGGAGAGACGCGGGAGGAAACGCUUCUGCAGGAGUCAGCAUCGAAGGAGGCUUACUAUCUGGGGAAAAUCUUGGAGAUGCAGAACGAGCUGAAACAGAGCCGGGCUGUGGUCACUAACGUACAGGCAGAAAAUGAGAGGCUCACCGCGGUCGUGCAGGAUCUGAAGGAGAACAAUGAGAUGGUGGAGCUACAGAGAAUACGGAUGAAGGAUGAAAUCCGAGAAUAUAAGUUCCGGGAGGCCCGACUCCUUCAGGACUAUACUGAAUUGGAAGAAGAAAAUAUCACAUUGCAGAAACUAGUGUCCACAUUGAAGCAGAACCAGGUUGAAUAUGAAGGCUUAAAGCAUGAGAUUAAGCGAUUUGAGGAGGAGACAGUGCUGCUGAACAGCCAGCUGGAGGAUGCCAUCCGACUGAAAGAGAUUGCUGAGCACCAACUGGAAGAAGCCCUCGAGACUUUGAAAAAUGAAAGAGAGCAAAAGAACAGCCUGCGGAAGGAGCUCUCCCAGUACAUCAGCCUCAACGAUAACCAUAUCAGCAUCUCAGUAGAUGGACUCAAAUUUGCUGAGGAUGGGAGUGAACCAAACAAUGAUGAUAAAAUGAAUGGGCAUAUCCAUGGGCCUCUUGUGAAACUGAAUGGAGACUAUCGGACUCCCACCUUAAGGAAAGGAGAGUCUCUGAACCCUGUCUCUGACUUAUUCAGUGAGCUGAACAUUUCAGAAAUACAGAAAUUGAAGCAGCAGCUUAUGCAGGUAGAGCGGGAAAAGGCCAUUCUUUUGGCCAACCUACAGGAGUCACAGACACAGCUGGAACACACCAAGGGGGCACUGACGGAGCAGCAUGAGCGGGUGCACCGGCUCACAGAGCACGUCAAUGCCAUGAGGGGCCUGCAAAGCAGCAAGGAGCUCAAGGCUGAGCUGGACGGGGAGAAGGGCCGGGACUCAGGGGAGGAGGCUCAUGAUUAUGAGGUGGACAUCAAUGGCUUAGAGAUUCUUGAAUGCAAAUACAGGGUGGCAGUAACUGAGGUGAUUGAUCUGAAAGCAGAAAUUAAGGCCUUAAAGGAGAAAUAUAAUAAAUCUGUAGAAAACUACACUGACGAGAAGGCCAAAUAUGAGAGUAAAAUUCAGAUGUAUGAUGAGCAGGUGACAAACCUUGAGAAGACCACCAAGGAGAGUGGGGAGAAGAUGGCCCACAUGGAGAAGGAGUUGCAAAAGAUGACCAGCAUAGCCAACGAAAAUCACAAUACCCUUAAUACGGCCCAGGAUGAGUUAGUGACAUUCAGUGAGGAGUUAGCUCAGCUUUACCACCACGUGUGUCUGUGUAAUAAUGAAACUCCCAACAGGGUCAUGCUGGAUUACUAUAGGCAGAGCAGAGUCACCCGCAGUGGCAGCCUGAAAGGGCCUGAUGAUCCCAGAGGACUUUUGUCCCCACGAUUAGCCAGGCGGGGAGUGUCAUCCCCAGUAGAAACAAGGACCUCAUCUGAACCAGUUGCAAAAGAAAACACAGAGGCCAGCAAAGAACCAAGCCCAACUAAGACCCCCACAAUCUCUCCUGUUAUUACUGCCCCACCAUCAUCUCCAGUAUUGGAUACAAGUGACAUCCGCAAAGAGCCAAUGAAUAUCUACAACCUUAAUGCCAUAAUCCGGGACCAAAUCAAGCAUCUGCAGAAAGCUGUGGACCGGUCCUUGCAACUGUCUCGCCAAAGAGCAGCAGCUCGGGAGCUAGCCCCCAUGAUUGAUAAAGACAAGGAAGCCUUAAUGGAAGAGAUCCUCAAGCUCAAGUCCCUGCUGAGCACCAAACGGGAGCAGAUCGCCACAUUGAGGGCAGUGCUGAAAGCCAACAAGCAGACAGCUGAGGUGGCGCUAGCUAAUCUCAAGAACAAAUAUGAAAAUGAAAAAGCAAUGGUGACUGAGACCAUGACAAAGCUUAGAAAUGAACUGAAGGCUUUGAAAGAAGAUGCUGCAACCUUCUCAUCCCUGAGAGCAAUGUUUGCAACAAGAUGUGAUGAAUAUGUCACCCAGUUGGAUGAGAUGCAGAGACAGUUAGCAGCCGCAGAGGAUGAGAAGAAGACUCUAAACACUUUGUUACGAAUGGCUAUCCAGCAAAAACUCGCCCUGACCCAGAGGCUGGAGGACUUAGAGUUUGACCAUGAGCAGUCCCGACGCAGCAAAGGCAAACUUGGAAAGAGCAAGAUCGGCAGCCCUAAAGUAAGUGGGGAGGCAUCAGUCACCGUGCCCACCGUAGACACUUACCUCCUGCAUAGUCAGGGCCCACAGACACCCAACAUUCGGGUCAGCAGUGGCACUCAGAGGAAAAGGUAUGCAUGCAGCAAUCUUCAUGGUACGGUGCAGUGGCCAGAUUUUAGUUAACUGCAAAAAUGAAUGUGCUCUUGUUGUGGAGGAUGGAGGAGGGGAAGGAAAAGAAAAAACGGGAGCUGGCCUAUAAAUGGGCCUUGCUAACGUGGGUCUUUCCAGAUCAAAACCUUUUUGAUAACUGUGUUUAUGUAGUCCUUUCUAACCCCCUGCCCAACCUCUCCUCUUGAUUAAUCGUAAUAUAAUUUUCAAGUGUCUGUUAAUAUUUUUGCUACUCUUUGUAUAUAUAAAUAUGCCUCUCCCUUACCUCCAACCUAAGAAUUGGUAGAUAAAGUUGGAUAUUAAGAAUCAAGCUGUGUUCUACCUGGGUUCUAAUUUUAAAAGUCAUUGUACCUUUGGAAAUGGUGCUGUUUAUCAGCUUCUCUUUAACGGGGCAAGGAUAUGAAUCUGUUCUUUUAGGGAAACUUUUGUCCAUUUGACCAAAACUGAUGACGGACUGAAAGUGGGUGUCUAUAUUUAGAUUAAAUGGGAUGGAAUACGCAUAGUCCUUUUCUUGAAAGCAGGUUUUUGAGCUUUUUCGUUUGGCGUGGGAAUAUUGCCCAGAGAAACCACUUGUAAGGUUUUUAGGGGCUUGAUUUUGUGACCUCUUUCCAGAGUCCUGGCUGUUGAGUUACUUACCCUGUAUUUUCGAUUAAUGGUAACAUUUUUAUUUUAGGAGCUUUCGUUAAAGACUCAAAUAAUAUAUUUUCCAUUUGUGGUUGAAACUGACUAACUUUAAUAAAUCUCUUUUCCAGUAUCCAGAGCAGUUUCCAAAUAGGGUUGUAUCCUGAUGUGGAAACUUAAAAAAAAAAAAAAAAAAAAAAAGCAAAACUCUUGAUUUACAUAUUAAAAAAAUUAAAUGCCGGUAUAAAUAAUGUUGUCACUGGUGAGGCAUUGAAAGGUAAUUAAAGUAAAACUUUUUUGUUUCCUAUAUGUAUUUUUCUUGGAUCUCCUGCAAGACAAUUUUCACCUUCCCUUUGUGAUCAGAGCCGUCCCAGGACUUCAGGGGCUUCCUACCUACAGAAUUUAUUAAGAGUUCCCCCUGAUCCCACCUCCACAGAAUCAUUUCUUCUGAAGGGCCCCCCUUCCAUGAGUGAAUUCAUCCAAGGGCAUCGGCUCAGCAAGGAAAAAAGGUUAACCGUGGCUCCACCAGAUUGUCAGCAGCCUGCUGCCUCCGUACCGCCACAGUGCUCACAACUAGCCGGGAGGCAAGACUGCCCGACUGUCAGUCCUGACACAGCUCUCCCUGAGGAGCAGCCACAUUCCAGCUCCCAGUGUGCCCCUCUCCACUGUCUCUCCACGCCUCCCCACCCCUAGUCUUCAUCUCCUGUGGACGGACAUCUGGGGAGGAAGUUUUGUAGCCACACACAGGAUACUGCCCAAGAUCCAGCGGGUGUUUUCUUCUUGGCGGUUAGAUGUACAAUUGGAUUACUGUCCAUUGCUUUGGAAGACAAGAGAAAGUUGAGAAGAACACGAAGCACAGACCCUGAUGUGAUAAAACAUUUUGUGGUUUCUCUGAGUCUCAGAUAAACUUCUGCCAUUAAAUGGCUACAGUUUAUUUAAAUAAAAAAAAAAAAAAGAAACAGGAGACAUGUGUCAGAUGGCUGGCCUUACCUCGAUAGCAUAAGAGAGACCUAAGAUGUGUAAAAUACAUAUAUUGUAAUAUCAUCUUUCCUCACACUCCAAAUUCAGCUAGGGAAGUUGAUUCCAAUAUUUUUGUCAUUGAUAUUUAUUUUGUACUUUAUUUGCUACAUGAUUUAUGUCUAUAAAAAUAAUUUCUCUGAGGUGAAUUUAAUUCAUUUAUUUUCAGAUAUUUGCUCAAUUAAGUAUGAGUUUGAAUUUAGUUUGAAAUCUGGAAUUGGCCAGACUGUGGUCAUUUUUCUUGCACAAAAUGAUAAAUGAGGUGCAUCAGAAUGUUAACAGUAACUGUAUUUUGCUGCUACGCUGGUAUUGUUUAUGCACUUAUUUUCUAAUCAUUAACUGCUGGGUUUUGCUUUUGUAUUUUUAACUAGAGUUCUUCACUGGACAUUACUAAGUAAAUCUAAGGAAGAAACUAUGUUAUGAUUUAUUGACUUAUUCAAGUUUUGAUGGCAUCUUUAAUUUUACUUUUUCAUUGCAGUUGAGUAGAUGUACUGGUGCUGCUCCUUUGUAUGUGUGUAUGUGUGUGACAGUGUUAAAGAAGGCUCUAUAACUUGAAGGGGAAAAAACAUGGUGUGUUUAUUUAAUUACCAGAAUUUUUUUUACUUCUCCUAAAAUCAGGGUCCUACUAUGAGUCUUUCCUGAUAAAAGGUAUCAAGUACAAAUGGGAAAAUAUAUACAUACCUAGAUGUAAGAUAGCCUUUGAUUAAUUAAUUUACCCAGAGAGUGUUCAAAGUGUUUGAUUAAAGUUGUAUGUUUUGUUGUUGUUAGGUUUUUUUCAUAACAAAUCUUCCUUGCCAAAAAAAAAAAAAAAA